AUGACGCAACCCCCAAUCCUCAGCCGAACUGCUCCGCGACAACCUCCCGGGCACUCUCCCCGCCGCCCGCACAACGCCCUCAUCGGCACGCUCUUCGCCAGAGCGGCCCGGAGCGGCAUGCACUGGAAGCCGGAGCCGGGAAGGAGUGCGGCCACCGCCGGGAGACAAGGGGAAGCGUGGUCGCGCUCUUUCGGGUCGGCCAUGGAGGCCGCGUGCAAGCCCGCGGCGCGGCGGCGCCCGUUCCCCCUCGCCUCUCUGGCCGCACCAGUCUCCUCCCAAAGGACGAAGUGGGCGCAUGUGUGGCGGCCGCCGGCAAACAAGGCCGCGCGCGAGCCCGCGGCGCUGCGGCGCCGAUCCCUCUUCCCCCUGCCGGUUUAA
This 378-nucleotide ribosomal RNA is filed under the name Triticum aestivum (bread wheat). Its description in RNAcentral is "partial small subunit ribosomal RNA". The record is from RNAcentral. Lineage: Eukaryota; Viridiplantae; Streptophyta; Magnoliopsida; Poales; Poaceae.